RNAcentral lists this transfer RNA (88 nucleotides) under Carboxydocella thermautotrophica. Its description in RNAcentral is "tRNA-Ser". It matches the Rfam family "tRNA". From Rfam's summary of the family: Transfer RNA (tRNA) molecules are approximately 80 nucleotides in length. Their secondary structure includes four short double-helical elements and three loops (D, anti-codon, and T loops). The record is from RNAcentral. RNAcentral also lists the same sequence under 3 other names. Lineage: Bacteria; Bacillati; Bacillota; Clostridia; Eubacteriales; Clostridiales Family XVI. Incertae Sedis.
GGAGGGGUGUCCGAGCGGUUUAAGGAGGCGGUCUUGAAAACCGUUGAGUCCUUGACGGGCUCCGUGGGUUCGAAUCCCACCCCCUCCG